CCUACGGGUGGCAGCAGUCGAGAAUCAUUCACAAUGGGGGAAACCCUGCUGGUGCGACGCCGCGUGGGGGAAUGAAGUUCUUCGGAUUGUAAACCCCUGUCAUGUGGGAGCAAAUUAAAAAGAUAGUACCACAAGAGGAAGAGACGGCUAACUCUGUGCCAGCAGCCGCGGUAAUACAGAGGUCUCAAGCGUUGUUCGGAAUCACUGGGCGUAAAGCGUGCGUAGGCUGUCUCGUAAGUCGUGUGUGAAAGGCGCGGGCUCAACCCGCGGACGGCACAUGAUACUGCGAGACUAGAGUGAUGGAGGGGGGACCGGAAUGCUCGGUGUAGCAGUGAAAUGCGUAGAUAUCGAGAGGAACACUCGUGGCGAAGGCGGGUUCCUGGACAUUAACUGACGCUGAGGCACGAAGGCCAGGGGAGCGAAAGGGAUUAGAUACCCCUGUAGUC
RNAcentral lists this ribosomal RNA (446 nucleotides) under uncultured bacterium. RNAcentral describes it as "partial 16S ribosomal RNA". It matches the Rfam family "Bacterial small subunit ribosomal RNA", at positions 338 to 795 of the family's 1533-position model. The record is from RNAcentral.